UACGAAGGGGGCUAGCGUUGCUCGGAAUUACUGGGCGUAAAGCGCACGUAGGCGGACUAUUAAGUCAGGGGUGAAAUCCCGGGGCUCAACCCCGGAACUGCCUUUGAUACUGGUAGUCUCGAGUCCGGAAGAGGUGAGUGGAAUUCCGAGUGUAGAGGUGAAAUUCGUAGAUAUUCGGAGGAACACCAGUGGCGAAGGCGGCUCACUGGUCCGGUACUGACGCUGAGGUGCGAAAGCGUGGGGAGCAAACAGG
RNAcentral lists this ribosomal RNA (253 nucleotides) under uncultured bacterium. RNAcentral's name for it is "partial 16S ribosomal RNA". It matches the Rfam family "Bacterial small subunit ribosomal RNA", at positions 524 to 776 of the family's 1533-position model. The record is from RNAcentral.